CCCAUAUAGAAUGAUUCGUGGCGGUUACAACCAAUGUCGCCCGGUGAUUUACGAAGAGUGACUCGCGAUAAGGCCGUUAGUUAGACUCCUUGCGUAGAAGACUAUGGCAGUUUCUUAACUGUUGGGAAGAUUUUUAGCGGCUGUUGAAACCGCCGACCAUGCAUUUUCCCGUGUUCGAGAAUUUCCAGCCUAAUCGAUGGAACCACCAGCUAUUUGUUCCAUCGUUAUAGAUAGCUCCAGUACUCCCUCACUUGAAUUUGGCCAGCUGUGUUGUGGUUGUUCAUUGAUGCCUGAACCCUAGAAGGGGAAGCUAUGAUCUAUGGCUGUGAAGUGUUGUCCGGGAUAGGAUAUAUUUCCUUCCAUUAUCCACCUCUGCCAACAGCUGGUAUGAUUAGUUGGUUGAUUUGACUUCCCAGCAUUGCCAAACCUCCAUUCGUUAGUAUAAAUGCAGCUAACAGGUAACAUGAUGUUCAUAUACUCCUGCUACCAAGUCGUGGUCUGUUUACAUUGCUGAGUGUUCCUUCAUAUUCUGUUGCUUUGAUCAGUUAAUCUUCGUAAUCUGAAUGAGAGAUAUGAGUGGGAAUGUGUAUUGCAUAAGGAUUCUGUGACCUGGGAAAAAUGCUUGUAUAAUCAAUGCUUGAGGAGGGACUGUCUUAACUUGAUACCUCACAAAAAUUCUCAUUCGCUAAGAUGUGGCUUCUAGCAGCCCAAUUUGAAAUACGUCAACUGAAUCUCAAGGAUGCUCGUGUAAUAUUAGGAAAUGCUAUUGGAAAGGCUCCUAAAGAUAAGUUAGUUCUCAUCGGCAAACACUUAUUAAUGCUUCUCAAUUGAGCAUCAAAAACUACUGACAUUGUGCUAUUGUUAUACUAAACAUGUUGGUUUCAAUUUAAAAUGGAGGUUUUUGAUGGGCAAGAUAGUGUUGUCUUCUUGCUAUUUGAUCUUGAGGCAUAGACCUCUUCUUGCUAUUUGAUCUUGAGGCAUGUGAAGAGCUUCUGAACACUAUUGAAAUUGAGAAGAAAGUCAUUCCUAAUGGUGAUUACCCAGAUGACAUUGAAGAAUGCCUAGCUGGCAAAGAAAUGCUAUUCAAAGUGUGCAACAAUUCUGGAGUUAAGCAUGAUCGAGAUGAUUGCUUCCAAAUUCUAAGGAUAUGUACUGACCUUGGUAUCAUUGCAAUGUUCCAUGAACAUGAUGUCUUAGUUACUCCCAAACAGGCAAAGUUCUCUCCCCCCUUUAGUGAGCUGGACAUAACUGAAGAGGAUGGUGAGAUUAGCCUUAAUCUGACUGGUGAUAAAAGUGCUUUAGCUGGUAGCAAUGCAAAGGACAAAGGACCUCACCAUUUGCGCAUGAAAUUGCUGAUAGACUUUGAAUCAGAUGAAGAAGAUGAUGCUGGAUUUACUGGUAGGGAUGAUGGUACUUUUGCAAAGAUCAGUCCUCUCUCUGAUAUGGCCUGUGAUGCUAAUGGGGAGGGUAAUAUGCCAGAUGCCAUUCAGUCUCAAACCGAUGCUAGAGGCACUGUGAAUUCUGCAGUAGAGACUGACAUAACUUUCUGGUGUGGUUCAUGAACCUAAACCACCUAUGU
Lotus japonicus is the source of this 1579-nucleotide RNA transcript. RefSeq lists it as uncharacterized. NCBI's taxonomy places the organism in Eukaryota, Viridiplantae, Streptophyta, Magnoliopsida, Fabales, Fabaceae. The record is from RefSeq and is a predicted model, not a curated record. The transcript is spliced from 8 exons.